CUUCCGUCGCCGAUUGUUUGGCGUACGGCUUCGGCUGUGCGUCUUAUAGAUCGGUCGGCGGGAAUCAACCUUUCUCGAAGGCCGUUCAUGCUCUUCACUGAGUGUGGACGGAAUUUCGGGACCUUUACCUUGAAUAAAUUAGAGUGUUCAAAGCAGGCAUUUUCGCUUGAAUACUAUUAGCAUGGGAUAAUAAAAUAGGACUUUGGUUCUAUUUUGUUGGUUUUUAGGACCAGAGUA
This 237-nucleotide ribosomal RNA is filed under the name uncultured fungus. RNAcentral's name for it is "partial small subunit ribosomal RNA". It matches the Rfam family "Eukaryotic small subunit ribosomal RNA", at positions 627 to 864 of the family's 1831-position model. The record is from RNAcentral. Lineage: Eukaryota; Fungi.